AUAGAAUACCAAUUGCGAAGGCAGAUCACUAACAAUAUAUUGACGCUGAUGGACGAAAGCGUGGGUAGCGAACAGGAUUAGAUACCCUGGUAGUCCACGCCGUAAACGAUGGUUACUAGCUGUUCGGUACGAUUAAGUACUGAGUGGCCAAGCGAAAGUGAUAAGUAACCCACCUGGGGAGUACGUUCGCAAGAAUGAAACUCAAAGGAAUUGACGGGGGCCCGCACAAGCGGUGGAGCAUGUGGUUUAAUUCGAUGAUACGCGAGGAACCUUACCAGGGCUUAAAUGUAGUCUGACAGCUUUAGAGAUAGAGUUUUCUUCGGACAGAUUACAAGGUGCUGCAUGGUUGUCGUCAGCUCGUGCCGUGAGGUGUCAGGUUAAGUCCUAUAACGAGCGCAACCCCUGUCGUUAGUUGCCAGCAUGUUAUGAUGGGGACUCUAACGAGACUGCCUACGCAAGUAGUGAGGAAGGUGGGGAUGACGUCAAAUCAUCACGGCCCUUACGUCCUGGGCCACACACGUGCUACAAUGGCAGGUACAGAGAGCAGCCAUGCCGCAAGGCAGAGCGAAUCUACAAAACCUGUCACAGUUCGGAUCGGGGUCUGCAACUCGACCCCGUGAAGCUGGAAUCGCUAGUAAUCGGAUAUCAGCCAUGAUCCGGUGAAUACGUUCCCGGGCCUUGUACACACCGCCCGUCAAGCCAUGGAAGCUGAGGGUGCCUGAAGUCGGUAACCGCAAGGAGCCGCCUAGGGUAAAAUCGGUAACUAGGGCUAAGUCGUAACAAGGUAGCCGUACCGGAAGGUGCGGCUG
This 809-nucleotide ribosomal RNA is filed under the name marine metagenome. RNAcentral's name for it is "bacterial SSU rRNA". It matches the Rfam family "Bacterial small subunit ribosomal RNA", at positions 701 to 1520 of the family's 1533-position model. The record is from RNAcentral.